CCCCGGUAAACGGCGGCCGUAACUAUAACGGUCCUAAGGUAGCGAAAUUCCUUGUCGGGUAAGUUCCGACCUGCACGAAUGGCGUAAUGAUGGCCAGGCUGUCUCCACCCGAGACUCAGUGAAAUUGAACUCGCUGUGAAGAUGCAGUGUACCCGCGGCAAGACGGAAAGACCCCGUGAACCUUUACUAUAGCUUGACACUGAACAUUGAGCCUUGAUGUGUAGGAUAGGUGGGAGGCUUUGAAGUGUGGACGCCAGUCUGCAUGGAGCCGACCUUGAAAUACCACCCUUUAAUGUUUGAUGUUCUAACGUGGACCCGUAAUCCGGGUUGCGGACAGUGUCUGGUGGGUAGUUUGACUGGGGCGGUCUCCUCCUAAAGAGUAACGGAGGAGCACGAAGGUUGGCUAAUCCUGGUCGGACAUCAGGAGGUUAGUGCAAUGGCAUAAGCCAGCUUGACUGCGAGCGUGACGGCGCGAGCAGGUGCGAAAGCAGGUCAUAGUGAUCCGGUGGUUCUGAAUGGAAGGGCCAUCGCUCAACGGAUAAAAGGUACUCCGGGGAUAACAGGCUGAUACCGCCCAAGAGUUCAUAUCGACGGCGGUGUUUGGCACCUCGAUGUCGGCUCAUCACAUCCUGGGGCUGAAGUAGGUCCCAAGGGUAUGGCUGUUCGCCAUUUAAAGUGGUACGCGAGCUGGGUUUAGAACGUCGUGAGACAGUUCGGUCCCUAUCUGCCGUGGGCGCUGGAGAACUGAGGGGGGCUGCUCCUAGUACGAGAGGACCGGAGUGGACGCAUCACUGGUGUUCGGGUUGUCAUGCCAAUGGCACUGCCCGGUAGCUAAAUGCGGAAGAGAUAAGUGCUGAAAGCAUCUAA
RNAcentral lists this ribosomal RNA (867 nucleotides) under Salmonella enterica. RNAcentral describes it as "partial 23S ribosomal RNA". It matches the Rfam family "Bacterial large subunit ribosomal RNA", at positions 1918 to 2784 of the family's 2925-position model. Lineage: Bacteria; Pseudomonadati; Pseudomonadota; Gammaproteobacteria; Enterobacterales; Enterobacteriaceae. The record is from RNAcentral. RNAcentral also lists the same sequence under 2 other names.